RNAcentral lists this small nucleolar RNA (136 nucleotides) under Manduca sexta (tobacco hornworm). RNAcentral's name for it is "small nucleolar RNA SNORA57". It matches the Rfam family "Small nucleolar RNA SNORA57". From Rfam's summary of the family: U99 belongs to the H/ACA class of snoRNAs which are thought to guide the sites of modification of uridines to pseudouridines, the target for this family is unknown. The record is from Rfam by way of RNAcentral. Lineage: Eukaryota; Metazoa; Arthropoda; Insecta; Lepidoptera; Sphingidae.
CCUCAUACCUUUGGCAUGGGUACGUUUUUUCAAUAGCGUGACAUGAAUGCACGUAUGAGGUAGAUAAAUACAGCUACAUGCCUUCGGUGUCCACACUUUACAUGUCUGGAUCCCAUCCUCAGAUGCUGUAACACUU